RNAcentral lists this ribosomal RNA (450 nucleotides) under uncultured bacterium. Its description in RNAcentral is "bacterial SSU rRNA". It matches the Rfam family "Bacterial small subunit ribosomal RNA", at positions 354 to 796 of the family's 1533-position model. The record is from RNAcentral.
GUGGGGAAUAUUGGACAAUGGGCGAAAGCCUGAUCCAGCCAUGCCGCGUGUGUGAAGAAGGUCUUCGGAUUGUAAAGCACUUUAAGUUGGGAGGAAGGGCAGUAAGUUAAUACCUUGCUGUUUUGACGUUACCGACAGAAUAAGCACCGGCUAACUUCGUGCCAGCAGCCGCGGUAAUACGAAGGGUGCAAGCGUUAAUCGGAAUUACUGGGCGUAAAGCGCGCGUAGGUGGUUUUGUAAGUUGGAGGUGAAAUCCCCGGGCUCAACCUGGGAACUGGCUCCAAAACUGCAUGACUAGAGUACGGUAGAGGGUAGUGGAAUUUCCUGUGUAGCGGUGAAAUGCGUAGAUAUAGGAAGGAACACCAGUGGCGAAGGCGACUACCUGGACUGAUACUGACACUGAGGUGCGAAAGCGUGGGGAGCAAACAGGAUUAGAAACCCCUGUAGUCC